Molecule: ribosomal RNA, 460 nt
Filed under: uncultured bacterium
Lineage: Bacteria
Description: partial 16S ribosomal RNA
Rfam family: Bacterial small subunit ribosomal RNA
Source: RNAcentral
CCUACGGGUGACAGCAGUGAGGAAUAUUGGUCAAUGGACGCAAGUCUGAACCAGCCAUGCCGCGUGCAGGAAGAAGGCUCUAUGAGUUGUAAACUGCUUUUGUACGAGGGUAAACGCAGGUACGCGUAUCUGUCUGAAAGUAACGUACGAAUAAGGAUCGGCUAACUCCGUGCCAGCAGCCGCGGUAAUACGGAGGAUGCAAGCGUUAUCCGGAUUUAUUGGGUUUAAAGGGUGCGUAGGCGGUUGGAUAAGUUAGAGGUGAAAUCCCGAGGCUCAACCUCUGAAUUGCCUUUGAUACUGGUCGACUAGAGAGGAGGUGCGGUAGGCGGAAUGUAUGGUGUAGCGGGGAAAUGCUUAGAGAUCAUGCAGAACACCGAUUGCGAAGGCAGCUUACCAAGCUACUUCUGACGCUGAGGCACGAAAGCGUGGGGAGCAAACAGGAUUAGAUACCCGAGUAGUC